AGCUCCAGAAGCGUAUAUUAAUGUUGUUGCAGUUAAAAAGCUCGUAGUCGGAUUUCGGGGCGGGUCGGUAGGUCUGCCGUAUGGUUUGUACUUUCUGACCCGCUCUUCCUUUCGAGGGCCCUGUGUGCACUUCACUGUGUGGACUGGGAGCUCGGAACUUUUACUUUGAAAAAAUUAGAGUGUUUAAAGCAGGCCAUUGCUCUGAAUACAUUAGCAUGGAAUAAUCGAAUAGGACUCUGGUUCUAUUUUGUUGGUUUAUAGGACUGGAGUAAUGAUCAACAGGGACAGUUUGGGGCGUUCGUAUUUCAUUGUCAGAGGUGAAAUUCUUGGAUUUAUGAAAGACGAACUUCUGCGAAAGCAUUCGUCAGGGAUGUUUUCA
RNAcentral lists this ribosomal RNA (379 nucleotides) under uncultured eukaryote. RNAcentral's name for it is "SSU rRNA". It matches the Rfam family "Eukaryotic small subunit ribosomal RNA", at positions 587 to 972 of the family's 1831-position model. The record is from RNAcentral.